UAUUGUCUGAUGGCGUACAAUAAAUCUC
RNAcentral lists this small RNA (28 nucleotides) under Bombyx mori (domestic silkworm). RNAcentral describes it as "ovarian small RNA-6694". Lineage: Eukaryota; Metazoa; Arthropoda; Insecta; Lepidoptera; Bombycidae. The record is from RNAcentral.